GUUAAUGUAGCUUACAAUAAAGCAAAGCACUGAAAAUGCUUAGACGAGCAAUCCUGCUCCAUAAACA
RNAcentral lists this transfer RNA (67 nucleotides) under Santamartamys rufodorsalis (red crested soft-furred spiny-rat). Its description in RNAcentral is "tRNA-Phe". It matches the Rfam family "tRNA". Rfam says of the family: Transfer RNA (tRNA) molecules are approximately 80 nucleotides in length. Their secondary structure includes four short double-helical elements and three loops (D, anti-codon, and T loops). Further hydrogen bonds mediate the characteristic L-shaped molecular structure. tRNAs have two regions of fundamental functional importance: the anti-codon, which is responsible for specific mRNA codon recognition, and the 3' end, to which the tRNAs corresponding amino acid is attached (by aminoacyl-tRNA synthetases). tRNAs cope with the degeneracy of the genetic code in two manners: having more than one tRNA (with a specific anti-codon) for a particular amino acid; and 'wobble' base-pairing, i.e. permitting non-standard base-pairing at the 3rd anti-codon position. The record is from RNAcentral. Lineage: Eukaryota; Metazoa; Chordata; Mammalia; Rodentia; Echimyidae.